GCCCAUAGCCGUAGAUUAAGCCUGCUAA
RNAcentral lists this non-coding RNA (28 nucleotides) under Rattus norvegicus (Norway rat). Lineage: Eukaryota; Metazoa; Chordata; Mammalia; Rodentia; Muridae. The record is from RNAcentral.